CAGUUCUUGGCCUUUCUCAUUGACUGAAUCUAUCCAACCCGUGGCCUUACGAGUGACCAGACCACUGCUUUCUUUGAGCACACUGGGGUCCAGCUGGCUAACAGAGCUUUUAUGGACAUUUUUUACUCCAUGUACAGUGUAUCGUGUAAGUUGGCUUCCACCAGUUUCCAGACAAGAUGGUGAGUCGACACAGGAGUUUGCCAACAAAGUCCAGAAGGUAAGAUCUCUCAGCUAAGUGUGUUCAUAUGGACAAGAUUUAUUGUAGAAAC
Nematolebias whitei (Rio pearlfish) is the source of this 269-nucleotide long non-coding RNA. RefSeq lists it as uncharacterized. The transcript is spliced from 3 exons. The record is from RefSeq and is a predicted model, not a curated record. Lineage: Eukaryota; Metazoa; Chordata; Actinopteri; Cyprinodontiformes; Rivulidae.